Molecule: ribosomal RNA, 496 nt
Filed under: uncultured bacterium
Lineage: Bacteria
Description: partial 16S ribosomal RNA
Rfam family: Bacterial small subunit ribosomal RNA
Source: RNAcentral
GAUGAACGCUGGCGGCGUGCCUAAUACAUGCCAGUCGAGCGAACAGACGAGGAGCUUGCUCCUCUGACGUUAGCGGCGGGCGGGUGAGUAACACGUGGAUAACCUACCUAUAAGACUGGGAUAACUUCGGGAAACCGGAGCUAAUACCGGAUAAUAUAUUGAACCGCAUGGUUCAAUAGUGAAAGACGGUUUUGCUGUCACUUAUAGAUGGAUCCGCGCCGCAUUAGCUAGUUGGUAAGGUAACGGCUUACCAAGGCAACGAUGCGUAGCCGACCUGAGAGGGUGAUCGGCCACACUGGAACUGAGACACGGUCCAGACUCCUACGGGAGGCAGCAGUAGGGAAUCUUCCGCAAUGGGCGAAAGCCUGACGGAGCAACGCCGCGUGAGUGAUGAAGGUCUUCGGAUCGUAAAACUCUGUUAUUAGGGAAGAACAAAUGUGUAAGUAACUAUGCACGUCUUGACGGUACCUAAUCAGAAAGCCACGGCGAACUACGU